AUUGAACGCUGGCGGCAGGCUUAACACAUGCAAGUCGAGCGGGGUGAUGGUGCUUGCACUAUCACUUAGCGGCGGACGGGUGAGUAAUGCUUAGGAAUCUGCCUAUUAGUGGGGGACAACAUCUCGCAAGGGAUGCUAAUACCGCAUACGUCCUACGGGAGAAAGCAGGGGAUCACUGGUGACCUUGCGCUAAUAGAUGAGCCUAAGUCGGAUUAGCUAGUUGGUGGGGUAAAGGCCUACCAAGGCGACAAUCUGUAGCGGGUCUGAGAGGUUGAUACGCCACACUGGGACUGAGACACGGCCCAGACUCCUACGGGAGGCAGCAGUGGGGAAUAUUGGACAAUGGGGGGAACCCUGAUCCAGCCAUGCCGCGUGUGUGAAGAAGGCCAUAUGGUUGUAAAGCACUUUAAGCGAGGAGGAGGCUCUUUUGGUUAAUACCCAAGAUGAGUGGACGUUACUCGCAGAAUAAGCACCGGCUAACUCUGUGCCAGCCGCCGCCGUAA
RNAcentral lists this ribosomal RNA (503 nucleotides) under uncultured bacterium. RNAcentral describes it as "partial 16S ribosomal RNA". It matches the Rfam family "Bacterial small subunit ribosomal RNA", at positions 30 to 523 of the family's 1533-position model. The record is from RNAcentral.